This is a transfer RNA of Calothrix sp. PCC 7507, 72 nucleotides long. It matches the Rfam family "tRNA". Rfam says of the family: Transfer RNA (tRNA) molecules are approximately 80 nucleotides in length. Their secondary structure includes four short double-helical elements and three loops (D, anti-codon, and T loops). Further hydrogen bonds mediate the characteristic L-shaped molecular structure. tRNAs have two regions of fundamental functional importance: the anti-codon, which is responsible for specific mRNA codon recognition, and the 3' end, to which the tRNAs corresponding amino acid is attached (by aminoacyl-tRNA synthetases). tRNAs cope with the degeneracy of the genetic code in two manners: having more than one tRNA (with a specific anti-codon) for a particular amino acid; and 'wobble' base-pairing, i.e. permitting non-standard base-pairing at the 3rd anti-codon position. The record is from Rfam. Lineage: Bacteria; Bacillati; Cyanobacteriota; Cyanophyceae; Nostocales; Calotrichaceae.
GCCGAUGUGGCUCAGUGGUAGAGCAGCUGAUUCGUAAUCAGCAGGCCACGGGUUCAAAUCCCGUCAUCGGCU